UUGACGAAAAGGCAAACUUGUAGAAAUGCAGGGACGCAAAGCCACGGGUCUUCUUCAAGAUAGCCGGGUUGUCGAA
Molecule: non-coding RNA, 76 nt
Filed under: Shewanella sp.
Lineage: Bacteria; Pseudomonadati; Pseudomonadota; Gammaproteobacteria; Alteromonadales; Shewanellaceae
Description: c-di-GMP sequence
Rfam family: c-di-GMP-I riboswitch aptamer
About the family: GEMM was predicted in a large-scale screen for bacterial structured RNA regulatory elements. Genes associated with GEMM are involved in a diverse array of functions, including chemotaxis regulation, signal transduction, secretion and chitin.
Source: RNAcentral